This is a long non-coding RNA of Poecilia latipinna (sailfin molly), 893 nucleotides long. RefSeq lists it as uncharacterized. The record is from RefSeq and is a predicted model, not a curated record. The transcript has 2 exons. NCBI's taxonomy places the organism in Eukaryota, Metazoa, Chordata, Actinopteri, Cyprinodontiformes, Poeciliidae.
UGAAAGAAGGUUUUUUCAUUCUUGUUUCAUUCAUGUGUUGUGAGAUGUUAAAGAACAAAGAACUGUUUCACUGAUCAAAUGGGUCAAUAGUUAGAUAUCUGUUGAACUUUUUAGGUUGAAAGUCAGUAAUGCAGCCAGUUGAUUGCAAAUGUUUAUUCCCAUCAUUUAUGUUUACUUAUUUACUGAGUUCAGGUUUAGAUUUUGAAAGCAGGAGUUGUAACUAUGAUAAGUUCACUCAGCAUCACUGUUGAUUGGUUAGCUCUGUGACAUGUGUGCAGGAACCAGGAAGUGUGAAAAUCUGUUUCUGAACGUUGUCCUUCUCCAUCCUGCUCUCUGAUGAGGGAAACGAGGAGAACCGGGCCCACAGCGGGUUUAUCCGCCAUCAUUAUCUGCUUCUAUGCUAACUUAUAGCAGAGUCUUCACAACUUCUAGUUUCCUCAGCAUGGGCUGCAGCAGGUCCUGGAUCUUACGAUCCCCCUUGCAGAUAUGAAGCACAUUCUCGUUGAUUUCUUCGAUGGACUUCUCCAGCCCGUAGUGCUGGAUGAUGAUUUGAGCCAUUUCACCUCUGGGUCUUUUGCGCUUCUCCUGCUCGGGGAUUUUGUUUAGAUACGUCAGCAUCCGCUUGUACUGAUAAUCUGUUAGUUCCUCCAGGAUCGAGCUCAGUUUUUCCCCCAAUUGUUUUUCAAGUUUGGUCACCUGAACACAAACACCAGAACGAUCAGAGGCCAGAGGUAAUAUGAGACGUCUACUAGGUUUAGUGACUAGAUUGUUAAACUAUGUGAAUGGAAUGAAACCCUCCCCAUAAAACUGAAUGCUGUUCCUCUUCCUCCUGACUGGUCAGCGAGCAGAGACUUUGAACAUUAUAAAACCUUACAAUAAAUACUGUUUAGGAA